CCUACGGGUGGCAGCAGUAAGGAAUAUUGCUCAAUGGGGGAAACCCUGAAGCAGCAACGCCGCGUGGAGGAUGAAGGUUUUCUGAUUGUAAACUCCUUUUGUUAGAGAAGAUAAUGACGGUAUCUAACGAAUAAGCACCGGCUAACUCCGUGCCAGCAGCCGCGGUAAUACGGAGGGUGCAAGCGUUACUCGGAAUCACUCGACGGAAAGAGCGCGUAGGCGGGAUAGCAAGUCAGAUGUGAAAUCGUAUGGCUUAACCAUAGAACUGCAUUUGAAACUGUUAUUCUAGAGUAUGGGAGAGGUAGGUGGAAUGCGUGGUGUAGGGGUAAAAUCCGUAGAGAUCAAGAGGAAUACUCAUUGCGAAGGCGACCUGCUGGAACAUAACUGACGCUGAUGCGCGAAAGCGUGGGGAGCGAACAGGAUUAGAUACCCCGGUAGUC
RNAcentral lists this ribosomal RNA (440 nucleotides) under uncultured bacterium. RNAcentral's name for it is "partial 16S ribosomal RNA". It matches the Rfam family "Bacterial small subunit ribosomal RNA", at positions 338 to 795 of the family's 1533-position model. The record is from RNAcentral.